Molecule: ribosomal RNA, 253 nt
Filed under: uncultured bacterium
Lineage: Bacteria
Description: partial 16S ribosomal RNA
Rfam family: Bacterial small subunit ribosomal RNA
Source: RNAcentral
UACGGGGGGGGCAAGCGUUGUUCGGAAUUACUGGGCGUAAAGGGCUCGUAGGUGGCCAACUAAGUCAGACGUGAAAUCCCUCGGCUUAACCGGGGAACUGCGUCUGAUACUGGAUGGCUAGAGUUUGGGAGAGGGAUGCGGAAUUCCAGGUGUAGCGGUGAAAUGCGUAGAUAUCUGGAGGAACACCGGUGGCGAAGGCGGCAUCCUGGACCAAUAUUGACGCUGAGGAGCGAAAGCUAGGGGAGCAAACGGG